GAAAUAAGAUAAUCAAAAAUAAGCUUCUAACUUAAUUUUUUAGCGAUGAAAUAUCGUUAUUAUUUCU
RNAcentral lists this transfer RNA (67 nucleotides) under Staphylinidae sp. BMNH 1274232. RNAcentral describes it as "tRNA-Ser". Lineage: Eukaryota; Metazoa; Arthropoda; Insecta; Coleoptera; Staphylinidae. The record is from RNAcentral.